RNAcentral lists this long non-coding RNA (331 nucleotides) under Salvia miltiorrhiza (redroot sage). RNAcentral describes it as "long non-coding RNA (SMIL_LNC012057)". The record is from RNAcentral. Lineage: Eukaryota; Viridiplantae; Streptophyta; Magnoliopsida; Lamiales; Lamiaceae.
GGUGAGAAUCUUGGAAUAAGAAUGUGUGAAUAAUUUAUUUGUUUACUAUGUUAUUCAUUACCUUACUGGUGUAAUUCUCUUUGAACAAAAAAAAAUGGAUAUUUGUGUUUUUUUAAGUUUUUGAUAUGUUCUCUUUUUUUUUUACUGAAUAUCAAACAUAUGAUAGUAUAUGUUCAUAUUUUGGUGCGCCCCUCCAGUUUAUUGCCUCGCACCUCUAGUUUAUUGCCUUCUUGUUUGCUAGUUUUUUUUGGAUUAAUAAGAUUUGUUCAUAAACAUAAAGAAAAUGCUAUUGAACAUACAAUUUGAGUUCGUGAACAAUCCAAUUUGUGUG